This is a non-coding RNA of Zootoca vivipara (common lizard), 1476 nucleotides long. The record is from RefSeq and is a predicted model, not a curated record. NCBI's taxonomy places the organism in Eukaryota, Metazoa, Chordata, Lepidosauria, Squamata, Lacertidae.
UCUGUUUUUAUAUUACAUCUGUCUUUUCCUUUGGCUUUGGGGUUAAUUUUCAUCUUGCUUCAGCUAGCAUGUAUAGCAGGGGUGGGCAACCUGUGGCCCUCAGCCUUAUUUUAUGUGGUCCUUGACCAAAUUCAGAAGCCCUCUGCAAGUGUUCCUCCCUGGCAGCUGCUGGGUAGAGAAGAAAAGUUAGAAAGAAGGUGUUGAAAAAGUGUUGCUCUGCCCAUUUUUAGUUGUAGCCUCACCAACAGCCAUUUUUGUCCCACACACAAUUGAUGUGAGGUUCCUGACAAAUUGCCCCAAACAUUACCCACCUCUAACUCAGAUGCCUUGUGGAAAUGGAAAGGUACCUGAAUUCACACAAGAUGUACUCCCAAAUUUCCACCAAUUUUCUCCUUCUAUUGAAGCUCAACACUACAUCUCACAUUGUUCAAGAAUGUCUCCCAACAAUUGGCAGUUGCAUUUGAGCAUUUGCAGAGAUGUGCAGUAAGGAAGAAGGGGUGGGAAAGCCAUUUUCUUUGGAAUCAAGGUAUUAUGAUUCAUGUAAGCAUGAUUACUGUGAUCUAAAUCAAAAGAACAAAUUUGGUUGUUCUGUGCGCUAAUAACUAGUGUCAUUAAAGCCAUAGUUAUUCACCAUUCAUACUUAUCUGAAAUGGAUCCUUGUGUAGUUCUGUGCUUUCUUGAUUCAGUCAGUUUGUGCAAUGGGAACAAUUGGUCGGGCAAAGGCCCAGUGGUAGAUAGGUCAGUGUUGACUAUACUGAAUUAGGUUGACCAUUGACCCAACUCCGUAUAAGACAUUUUCACAUAUUUCUGUAAAUUAAUAACAGCUGACUGCAGCCCCAAACAAAUUCUGCCAUAGAAAUUUGCUGCCAGUAUUUAUUUCCAUAUUUGAUCACUAGGUUGAACCUAUUAACAAACUGCCUCACUCGCUGCCCCAAUAGCUGUCUUACUCAUUUCUUGCACAAUGUGGUCUUCCUCUUCUUCUGCCUUUGUACAUGCAAGCUCCUUUUUCCUUCUAGUUCACUAUGGUGCUGUGUUUCAACUGCACAGAUACCAGCCAUGGUUAGUUUUCAGACUAGGUGCUAGUGGUGGGUAGGGCAAUAAGCGAAAGUGGCUGGAUAAAAGACUGUUAAUUUUACCUUUGUACAGUAGGCUUCUUUCUACCUGCACACAGACUGCCCUUCACCCAGGAAAAGAAGAAGUAUUAUUAGUGUUCAUAGACACAUUCCAGCCAGCCAGAAAUGCCACGUAAGAAUGCAAGGCAGGGCCCACAGGGAGAAUGGCCUGAGAGAAGGAGUUGUGGCUGGAGAGGUGGCCAGAUAGAGAUGCCUGGGGCCUGAAGUUCCACACAAACACAUUCUCUACCUGUAUUGUUUUGGAACUGCAGGAAACAGGAUAUGGUGGUAUUAAUGUGUAGAUUACAAUUUCAGCUAUCCAUUUUAACAAUACUCAGCUUUAACUUUGCCUCAUUUCAUUUUU